GGGUUGUGAGGUUAAGCGACUAAGCGUACACGGUGGAUGCCCUGGCAGUCAGAGGCGAUGAAGGACGUGCUAAUCUGCGAUAAGCGUCGGUAAGGUGAUAUGAACCGUUAUAACCGGCGAUUUCCGAAUGGGGAAACCCAGUGUGAUUCGUCACACUAUCAUUAACUGAAUCCAUAGGUUAAUGAGGCGAACCGGGGGAACUGAAACAUCUAAGUACCCCGAGGAAAAGAAAUCAACCGAGAUUCCCCCAGUAGCGGCGAGCGAACGGGGAGCAGCCCAGAGCCUGAAUCAGUGUGUGUGUUAGUGGAAGCGUCUGGAAAGGCGUGCGAUACAGGGUGACAGCCCCGUACACAAAAAUGCACAUGCUGUGAGCUCGAUGAGUAGGGCGGGACACGUGGUAUCCUGUCUGAAUAUGGGGGGACCAUCCUCCAAGGCUAAAUACUCCUGACUGACCGAUAGUGAACCAGUACCGUGAGGGAAAGGCGAAAAGAACCCCGGCGAGGGGAGUGAAAAAGAACCUGAAACCGUGUACGUACAAGCAGUGGGAGCACGCUUAGGCGUGUGACUGCGUACCUUUUGUAUAAUGGGUCAGCGACUUAUAUUCUGUAGCAAGGUUAACCGAAUAGGGGAGCCGAAGGGAAACCGAGUCUUAACUGGGCGUUAAGUUGCAGGGUAUAGACCCGAAA
RNAcentral lists this ribosomal RNA (686 nucleotides) under Escherichia coli. Its description in RNAcentral is "partial 23S ribosomal RNA". It matches the Rfam family "Bacterial large subunit ribosomal RNA", at positions 1 to 720 of the family's 2925-position model. The record is from RNAcentral. Lineage: Bacteria; Pseudomonadati; Pseudomonadota; Gammaproteobacteria; Enterobacterales; Enterobacteriaceae.